Molecule: long non-coding RNA, 787 nt
Filed under: Physcomitrium patens
Lineage: Eukaryota; Viridiplantae; Streptophyta; Bryopsida; Funariales; Funariaceae
Description: long non-coding RNA (PPAT_LNC001993)
Source: RNAcentral
AGUCUCAUGAUGCUUCCAAAUUUGAAUUCAAAAACAACCUACUCUAUUUUGAAGGAUGCCUAUAUGUUCCAUAAGGAGAAGCAUGUUUACAUUGUCAUAAUACGUGAAGUCUUGCUUGAGAAUGCUCUGGGCACUUGACUGUGGAAGGAAGAAUGGAAAUUGCAAUAAAAAAAUCUUAACUUUAAUAGAAUACUAACAAUGCUCUAAUUAAACCAUAAUAAUGCUAAGCAAGCUUAAUCAAAUUAAAAAAAAAACCUCAAAGAAAUUUCAAACAAACAAUAAGAAUUCUUAAAGAAAUAUUAGAAGGAUCACAAAUAUCACUCAAAUAUAUCUCAAUUCAAUCUUAAUUUAAUUCUAGUUAAAAUCCUAUUGAACUUUAUUCAAACUUUAGGCCAAAACUAAUUAAAUCUUAAAUCCUAAUAAAAUCCUAAACCCUAAAUCAAAUCCUAAACAAAUCUUAAACCAAAUCCCAACCAAAUCCUAAACCAAAUCCUAACCAAAUCCUAAACCAAAUUCUAAAUCUUAAAUCAAAUCCUAACCAAACUCUAAUCCAAAUCCUAAAUCCUAAUGAAACCCUAAAUCAAACCCUAAAUCAAACCCUAAACAAACCUUAAACCAAACCUCAACUAAAUCCUAAACCAAAUCCUAAUCAAAUCCUAACCAAAUCCUAAACCAAAUCCUAAUACAAACCCUAAAUCCUAAACCAAAUCCUAAUCAAAUCCUAAAUCCUAAAUCAAAUUCUAAUCAAACCCUAAAUCCGAAAUCAAACCCUAAUCCAAAUCCUAAA